CACCCGGGUAUGCCUCAGUACGGCGAGUGAAGCGGCAAGAGCUCAAAUUUGAAAUCUGGCCCCUUUGGGGUCCGAGUUGUAAUUUGCAGAGGAUGCUUCGGGUGCGGUCCCCGUCUAAGUGCCCUGGAACGGGCCGUCAUAGAGGGUGAGAAUCCCGUCUGGGAUGGGCGGCCGUGCCCGUGUGAAGCUCCUUCGACGAGUCGAGUUGUUUGGGAAUGCAGCUCUAAGUGGGUGGUAAAUUUCAUCUAAAGCUAAAUACUGGCCGGAGACCGAUAGCGCACAAGUAGAGUGAUCGAAAGAUGAAAAGCACUUUGAAAAGAGAGUUAAACAGCACGUGAAAUUGUUGAAAGGGAAGCGUUGUCCACCAGACUCGCCCGGGGGGGCUCAGCCGGCACGUGUGCCGGUGUACUCCCCUCCAGGCGGACCAUUAUCGGUUUGAGUCUUUGGACGGACCCGCCUUUAAUGGCCGCCCACCCGAAGCGCCUUAUAUUCACUGGGGACAUAUCGCCUCUCUCCUCUGUUUCCCCCUCAUUCCUCAAUACUCCCUCUCAAUAAC
Molecule: ribosomal RNA, 556 nt
Filed under: Talaromyces viridulus
Lineage: Eukaryota; Fungi; Ascomycota; Eurotiomycetes; Eurotiales; Trichocomaceae
Description: LSU rRNA
Rfam family: Eukaryotic large subunit ribosomal RNA
Source: RNAcentral